This 375-nucleotide ribosomal RNA is filed under the name uncultured bacterium. Its description in RNAcentral is "bacterial SSU rRNA". It matches the Rfam family "Bacterial small subunit ribosomal RNA", at positions 28 to 404 of the family's 1533-position model. The record is from RNAcentral.
GACGAACGCUGGCGGCGUGCUUAACACAUGCAAGUCGAGCGGUAAGGCCCUUUCGGGGGUACACGAGCGGCGAACGGGUGAGUAACACGUGGGUGACCUGCCCUCAGCUCUGGGAUAAGCCUGGGAAACCGGGUCUAAUACCGGAUAUGAGUCCAUGACGCAUGUUGUGGGGUGGAAAGCCUUGUGCGGCUGAGGAUGGGCCCGCGGCCUAUCAGCUUGUUGGUGGGGUGAUGGCCUACCAAGGCGACGACGGGUAGCCGGCCUGAGAGGGCGACCGGCCACACUGGGACUGAGACACGGCCCAGACUCCUACGGGAGGCAGCAGUGGGGAAUCUUGCGCAAUGGGCGAAAGCCUGACGCAGCGACGCCGCGUGA